GACGUAGGGCGCGAGCGUUGUCCGGAUUUAUUGGGCGUAAAGAGCUCGUAGGCGGUCUGUCGCGUCGUCUGUGAAAACCCGAGGCUCAACCUCGGGCCUGCAGUCGAUACGGGCAGACUAGAGUGCGGUAGGGGAGACUGGAAUUCCUGGUGUAGCGGUGAAAUGCGCAGAUAUCAGGAGGAACACCGGUGGCGAAGGCGGGUCUCUGGGACGGUACUGACGCUGAGACGCGAAAGCGUGGGGAGCGAACAGG
Molecule: ribosomal RNA, 253 nt
Filed under: uncultured bacterium
Lineage: Bacteria
Description: partial 16S ribosomal RNA
Rfam family: Bacterial small subunit ribosomal RNA
Source: RNAcentral